Molecule: ribosomal RNA, 267 nt
Filed under: uncultured bacterium
Lineage: Bacteria
Description: partial 16S ribosomal RNA
Rfam family: Bacterial small subunit ribosomal RNA
Source: RNAcentral
UCUCCUACGGGGGGGCAGCAGUAGGGAACCUUCCACAAUGGACGAAAGUCUGAUGGAGCAACGCCGCGUGAGUGAAGAAGGGUUUCGGCUCGUAAAGCUCUGUUGGUAGUGAAGAAAGAGAGAGGUAGUAACUGGCCUUUAUUUGACGGUAAUUACUUAGAAAGUCACGGCUAACUACGUGCCAGCAGCCGCGGUAAUACGUAGGUGGCAAGCGUUGUCCGGAUUUAUUGGGCGUAAAGCGCGUGCAGGCGGGUCAAUAAGUCUUAG